RNAcentral lists this ribosomal RNA (731 nucleotides) under uncultured bacterium. RNAcentral's name for it is "bacterial SSU rRNA". It matches the Rfam family "Bacterial small subunit ribosomal RNA", at positions 55 to 773 of the family's 1533-position model. The record is from RNAcentral.
AUGCAAGUCGAGGGGCAGCGGGGAGGUAGCAAUACCUUUGCCGGCGACCGGCGCACGGGUGAGUAACACGUAUGCAAUCCACCUGUAACAGGGGGAUAACCCGGAGAAAUCCGGACUAAUACCCCAUAAUAUGGGCUCUCCGCAUGGAGGGUUCAUUAAAGAGAGCAAUUUUGGUUACAGACGAGCAUGCGCUCCAUUAGCCAGUUGGCGGGGUAACGGCCCAUCAAAGCGACGAUGGAUAGGGGUUCUGAGAGGAAGGUCCCCCACAUUGGAACUGAGACACGGUCCAAACUCCUACGGGAGGCAGCAGUGAGGAAUAUUGGUCAAUGGUCGGCAGACUGAACCAGCCAAGUCGCGUGAGGGAAGACGGCCCUACGGGUUGUAAACCUCUUUUGUCGGAGAGUAAAGUACGCUACGUGUAGCGUAUUGCAAGUAUCCGAAGAAAAAGCAUCGGCUAACUCCGUGCCAGCAGCCGCGGUAAUACGGAGGAUGCGAGCGUUAUCCGGAUUUAUUGGGUUUAAAGGGUGCGUAGGCGGCACGCCAAGUCAGCGGUGAAAUUUUCGGGCCCAACCCGGACUGUGCCGUUGAAACUGGCGAGCUAGAGUGCACAAGAGGCAGGCGGAAUGCGUGGUGUAGCGGUGAAAUGCAUAGAUAUCACGCAGAACCCCGAUUGCGAAGGCAGCCUGCUAGGGUGCGACAGACGCUGAGGCACGAAAGCGUGGGUAUCGAAC